This 270-nucleotide ribosomal RNA is filed under the name uncultured prokaryote. RNAcentral's name for it is "partial 16S ribosomal RNA". It matches the Rfam family "Bacterial small subunit ribosomal RNA", at positions 524 to 792 of the family's 1533-position model. The record is from RNAcentral.
UACGUAGGGUGCGAGCGUUGUCCGGAAUUACUGGGCGUAAAGAGCUCGUAGGUGGUUUGUCGCGUCGUCUGUGAAAUUCCGGAGCUUAACCUCGGGCGUGCAGGCGAUACGGGCAAUACUUGAGUGCUGUAGGGGAGACUGGAAUUCCUGGUGUAGCGGUGAAAUGCGCAGAUAUCAGGAGGAACACCGGUGGCGAAGGCGGGUCUCUGGGCCGAUACUGACGCUGAGGAGCGAAAGCGUGGGGAGCGAACAGGAUUAGAUACCCGCGUA